GAUGAAAGAACGUAGCGAAAUGCGAUAAGUAAUGUGAAUUGCAGAAUUCAGUGAAUCAUCGAAUCUUUGAACGCACAUUGCGCCCCUCGGCAUUCCGGGGGGCAUGCCUGUUCGAGCGUCAUCAACAAAACUCAAGCGUCGCUUGGUACUGGGCGCUCGUCCCUCCCUCCCCCCCGGGGGAGGGGCGUGCCCGAAAGCUAGCGGCGGUGCGGCCGGUUCCCCAAGCGCAUUAAAUUUGCAUUCGCUCUGGAGGUACCCGGGGCACCCGCCGGACAAGCGGCCGAUCUCGUCGAGACGGCCCCCAGAACGACUGACCUCGGAUCAGGUAGGGAUACCCGCUGAACUUAAGCAUAUCAAUAAGCGGAGGA
Molecule: unclassified non-coding RNA, 368 nt
Filed under: soil metagenome
Description: partial contains 5.8S ribosomal RNA, internal transcribed spacer 2, and large subunit ribosomal RNA
Rfam family: 5.8S ribosomal RNA (bases 6-121)
Source: RNAcentral